This 407-nucleotide ribosomal RNA is filed under the name uncultured bacterium. Its description in RNAcentral is "partial 16S ribosomal RNA". It matches the Rfam family "Bacterial small subunit ribosomal RNA", at positions 30 to 526 of the family's 1533-position model. The record is from RNAcentral.
AUCGAACGCUGGCGGCAUGCUUAACACAUGCAAGUCGAGCGGAGCGUCGGACGGGUGAGUAAUGCUUAGGAAUCUGCCUGUUAGUGGCGUACACCACCUCGAAAGGUCUGCUAAUCCCGCAUACUUAUAGAUGAGCCUAAGUUGUAUUAGCUGGUUGGUGGGGUAAAGGCCUACCAAGGUGAAGAUCUGUAGCGGGUCUGAGUGGAUGAUCCGCCAAACUGGGACUGAGAAACGGGCCAGAAUCCUAAGGGAAGCAGCAAUGGGGAAUAUUGGGCAAUGGGAGGAAACCUGAUCCGGGCAUGCCGGGUGUGUGAAGAAGGCCUUAUGGUGGGAAAGAAUUUGAAGCGAGGAGGCGUUAGUUAACGAGUAAGCACCGGCUAACUAUGUGCCAGCAGCCGCGGUAAUAC